Molecule: unclassified non-coding RNA, 330 nt
Filed under: soil metagenome
Description: partial contains 5.8S ribosomal RNA, internal transcribed spacer 2, and large subunit ribosomal RNA
Rfam family: 5.8S ribosomal RNA (bases 1-120)
Source: RNAcentral
GAUGAAGAACGCAGCGAAAUGCGAUAAGUAAUGUGAAUUGCAGAAUUCAGUGAAUCAUCGAAUCUUUGAACGCACAUUGCGCCCUCUGGUAUUCCGGGGGGCAUGCCUGUUCGAGCGUCAUUACAACCCUCAAGCUUUGCUUGGUAUUGGACAUUGCCAGUUUCUGGCAGGUCUUAAAAUCAGUGGCUGUGCCAUUUGGCUUCAAGCGUAGUAAUUCUUCUCGCUUUGGAGAUCCAAGUGGUUACUUGCCAAUAACCCCCAAUUUUUUCAGGUUGACCUCGGAUCAGGUAGGGAUACCCGCUGAACUUAAGCAUAUCAAUAAGCGGAGGA